GUUGAGAUAUUUUGUGAUCCUGAUAUGUAUUUUUCUGUUGUUGUUUUUAGACUUUUCUGCAAUAUGUCAUCUGACGAUGAUGAAAGGAAUACGAUGAUAAUAACAUUGUUCAACAAAGGCUUAAAACAAAAGGAAAUCAGCUGUGUACUCAAUUCAUAUGGGCAUAAAAUAAGUGAGAGGCAUCUGAGACGAGUUUUAAAACUUCUAGGGUUGAAGCGAAGAUGCCCCCAACGACCUUUUACUGAAA
Molecule: long non-coding RNA, 247 nt
Organism: Pelmatolapia mariae (spotted tilapia)
Lineage: Eukaryota; Metazoa; Chordata; Actinopteri; Cichliformes; Cichlidae
Exons: 3
Source: RefSeq, a predicted model, not a curated record